GAGUUUGAUCCUGGCUCAGAAUCAACGCUGGCGGCGCGCCUAACACAUGCAAGUCGAGCGAGAAAGGGAGCAAUCCUGAGUAAAGCGGCGCACGGGUGAGUAACACGUGGAUCAUCUACCCUUUGAUGGGGAAUAACCUUGGGAAACCGAGGCUAAUACCGCAUAAGUUCGAGAGAAGAAAGCCGAAAGGCGUCGAAGGAGGAGUCCGCGGCCGAUUAGCUAGUUGGUGAGGUAAAUGCUUACCAAGGCGACGAUCGGUAGCCGGCCUGAGAGGGCACACGGCCACACUGGCGCUGAAACACGGGCCAGACUCCUACGGGAGGCAGCAGUGGGGAAUCUUGCACAAUGGGGGAAACCCUGAUGCAGCGACGCCGCGUGAGCGAUGAAGCCCUUCGGGGUGUAAAGCUCUUUCGGCAGGGACGAUAAUGACGGUACCUGCAGAAGAAGCUGCGGCUAACUACGUGCCAGCAGCCGCGGUAAUACGUAGGCAGCAAGCGUUGUUCGGAAUUACUGGGCGUAAAGAGUGCGUAGGCGGUUUGGCAAGUUCGGUGUGAAAUCUCCCGGCUUAACUGGGAGGGUGCGCCGAAAACUACCAGACUAGAGUGUGGGAGAGAGGAAGUGGAAUUCCUGGUGUAGCGGUGAAAUGCGUAGACAUCAGGAGGAACACCUGCGGUGUAGACGGCUUCCUGGACCACUACUGACGCUGAGGCACGAAAGCGUGGGGAGCAAACAGGAUUAGGUACCCUGGUAGUCCACGCCCUAAACGAUGCGGACUUGGUGUUGGCCCUUCAUUGGGCCAGUGCCGCAGCUAACGCGGUAAGUCCGCCGCCUGGGGAGUACGGUCGCAAGAUUAAAACUCAAAGAAAUUGACGGGGGCCUGCACAAGCGGUGGAGUAUGUGGCUCAAUUCGAUGCAACGCGAAGAACCUUACCUGGCCUUGACAUGCAAGCAGUAGACCCAUGAAAGUGGGACGACCCCGCAAGGGGAGCUUGCACAGGUGCUGCAUGGCUGUCGUCAGCUCGUGUCGUGAGGUGUUGGGUUAAGUCCCGCAACGAGCGCAACCCUUAUUCGUAGUUGCCACCCGCAAGGGGGAACUCUACGAGGACUGCUCCGGAUAACGGAGAGGAAGGUGGGGAUGACGUCAAGUCAGCACGGCCUUUAUGUCCAGGGCUACACACGUGUUACAAUGCACGGUACAGACUGUUGCGAACCCGCGAGGGGGAGCUAAUCGGAUAAAACCGUGCUCAGUUCGGAUUGCAGUCUGCAACUCGACUGCAUGAAGCUGGAAUCGCUAGUAAUGGCGUAUCAGAUCGACGCCGUGAAUACGUUCCCGGGCCUUGUACACACCGCCCGUCACAUCACGAAAGUGAGUUGUACUAGAAGUCGCGCAGCUAACCGCAAGGGAGCACGCGCCCAAGGUAUGACCCAUGAUUGGGGUGAAGUCGUAACAAGGUAACCGU
RNAcentral lists this ribosomal RNA (1460 nucleotides) under uncultured bacterium. RNAcentral's name for it is "bacterial SSU rRNA". It matches the Rfam family "Bacterial small subunit ribosomal RNA". The record is from RNAcentral.